AGAGUUUGAUCCUGGCUCAGGACGAACGCUGGCGGCGUGCUUAACACAUGCAAGUCGAACGAGACGAUUGAAAGCUUGCUUUUGAAAGUCGAGUGGCAAACGGGUGAGUAACGCGUAGACAACCUGCCGUAAAGAUGGGGACAACAGUCCGAAAGGACUGCUAAUACCGAAUGUUGUGGAACUUCCGCAUGGGAGCUCUACUAAAGAUGGCCUCUACUUGUAAGCUAUCGCUUUACGAUGGGUCUGCGUCUGAUUAGCUAGUUGGUGGGGUAACGGCCUACCAAGGCGACGAUCAGUAGCCGGUCUGAGAGGAUGAACGGCCACAUUGGAACUGAGACACGGUCCAGACUCCUACGGGAGGCAGCAGUGGGGAAUCUUCCGCAAUGGGCGCAAGCCUGACGGAGCAACGCCGCGUGAGUGAAGAAGGGUUUCGACUCGUAAAGCUCUGUUGUCGGGGACGAAUGUGGAGGUUGUGAAUAACAGCUUCCAAUGACGGUACCUGACGAGGAAGCCACGGCUAACUACGUGCCAGCAGCCGCGGU
Molecule: ribosomal RNA, 542 nt
Filed under: uncultured Gram-positive bacterium
Lineage: Bacteria
Description: bacterial SSU rRNA
Rfam family: Bacterial small subunit ribosomal RNA
Source: RNAcentral